Molecule: transfer RNA, 71 nt
Filed under: Ameiurus melas (black bullhead)
Lineage: Eukaryota; Metazoa; Chordata; Actinopteri; Siluriformes; Ictaluridae
Rfam family: tRNA
About the family: Transfer RNA (tRNA) molecules are approximately 80 nucleotides in length. Their secondary structure includes four short double-helical elements and three loops (D, anti-codon, and T loops). Further hydrogen bonds mediate the characteristic L-shaped molecular structure. tRNAs have two regions of fundamental functional importance: the anti-codon, which is responsible for specific mRNA codon recognition, and the 3' end, to which the tRNAs corresponding amino acid is attached (by aminoacyl-tRNA synthetases). tRNAs cope with the degeneracy of the genetic code in two manners: having more than one tRNA (with a specific anti-codon) for a particular amino acid; and 'wobble' base-pairing, i.e. permitting non-standard base-pairing at the 3rd anti-codon position.
Source: Rfam by way of RNAcentral
GCAUUGGUGGUUCGGUGGUAGAAUUCUAGCUUGCCAUGUUGGAGGCCUGGGUUCGAUUCCCAGCCAAUGCA